RNAcentral lists this ribosomal RNA (450 nucleotides) under uncultured bacterium. RNAcentral's name for it is "partial 16S ribosomal RNA". It matches the Rfam family "Bacterial small subunit ribosomal RNA", at positions 354 to 796 of the family's 1533-position model. The record is from RNAcentral.
GUGGGGAAUUUUGGACAAUGGGCGCAAGCCUGAUCCAGCAAUGCCGCGUGUGUGAAGAAGGCCUUCGGGUUGUAAAGCACUUUUGGCAGGAAAGAAAUAGCGCGUGCUAAUACCAUGCGCGAAUGACGGUACCUGCAGAAUAAGCACCGGCUAACUACGUGCCAGCAGCCGCGGUAAGACGUAGGGUGCAAGCGUUAAUCGGAAUUACUGGGCGUAAAGCGUGCGCAGGCGGUUUUGUAAGACAGGUGUGAAAUCCCCGGGCUCAACCUGGGAACUGCACUUGUGACUGCAAGGCUAGAGUGGGUCAGAGGGAGGUGGAAUUCCGCGUGUAGCAGUGAAAUGCGUAGAGAUGCGGAGGAACACCGAUGGCGAAGGCAGCCUCCUGGGAUAACACUGACGCUCAGGCACGAAAGCGUGGGGAGCAAACAGGAUUAGAAACCCUAGUAGUCC